AGGCGAUUGCAAGUCCUAUGACUUGAGGAAAGUCCGAGCUCCAUAGGGCAGGAUGCCGGCUAACGGCCGGCGUGGGUGACUCAUAGGGAAUAGUGCCACAGAAAAGUAAACCGCCACCUUCGGGUGGUAAGGGUGGAACGGUCGCGGUAAGAGCGCACCGUGCACAUGGUAACAUGUAUGCUCGGUAAACCCCAUCCGGAGCAAGGCCGAAUAGGAAAGGGUUAAGGGUUGCCCGCCUACCUUUCGGGUUGUGCCGCUUGAGCGUAUAGGCAACUAUGCGCCCUAGAAAGAUAAUCGCCACUGCGAAAGCGGGGACAGAACUCGGCUUAUUGAUUG
This 336-nucleotide RNase P RNA is filed under the name human oral metagenome. Its description in RNAcentral is "Bacterial RNase P class A". It matches the Rfam family "Bacterial RNase P class A". Rfam says of the family: Ribonuclease P (RNase P) is a ubiquitous endoribonuclease, found in archaea, bacteria and eukarya as well as chloroplasts and mitochondria. Its best characterised activity is the generation of mature 5'-ends of tRNAs by cleaving the 5'-leader elements of precursor-tRNAs. Cellular RNase Ps are ribonucleoproteins. The record is from RNAcentral.